CCUACGGGAGACAGCAGUGAGGAAUAUUGGUCAAUGGGCGCUAGCCUGAACCAGCCAAGUAGCGUGAAGGCUGACUGCCCUAUGGGUUGUAAACUUCUUUUAUAUAGGAAUAAAGUGCAGUAUGUGUACUUCUUUGCAUGUACCUUAUGAAUAAGGCUCGGCUAACUCCGUGCCCGCAGCCGCGGUAAUACGGAGUAUCCGAGCGUUAUCCGGAUUUAUUGGGGUUAAAGGGAGCGUAGGCGGGUUGUUAAGUCAGUUGUGAAAGUUUGCGGCUCAACCGUAAAAUUGCAGUUGAUACUGGCAGCCUUGAGUACAGUAGAGGUAGGCGGAAUUCGUGGUGUAGCGGUGAAAUGCUUAGAUAUCACGAAGAACUCCGAUUGCGAAGGCAGCUUGCUGGACUGUAACUGACGCUGAUGCUCGAAAGUGUGGGUAUCAAACAGGAUUAGAUACCCGGGUAGUC
Molecule: ribosomal RNA, 460 nt
Filed under: uncultured bacterium
Lineage: Bacteria
Description: partial 16S ribosomal RNA
Rfam family: Bacterial small subunit ribosomal RNA
Source: RNAcentral